GACCGAUAGUGAACCAGUACCGUGAGGGAAAGUGAAAAGUACUUCGAAUAGAAGGUGAAAUAGAUCCUGAAACAGACGCUUACAAGCUGUCGGAGCCCUCGUAAUUAACGAGUAGGGUGACGAUGUGCCUUUUGCAUAAUGAACCUACGAGUUAAUUUUUCCGGCAAGGUUAAGUAGUUUAGCUAUGGAGCCGUAGCGAAAGCGAGUCUGAAUAGGCAUUUAGUCGGAAGAAUUAGACGCGAAACCGAGUGAUCUACCCAUGAGCAGGUUGAAGCUGUGGUAACACAUAGUGGAGGACCGAACCGGUUGACGUUGAAAAGUCUUCGGAUGACUUGUGGGUAGGGGUGAAAGGCUAAUCAAACUCGGAGAUAGCUCGUACUCCCCGAAAUGCAUUUAGGUGCAGCAUCGUGUUAAAUAUGACAGAGGUAGAGCUACUGAUUGGAUGAGGGGGUUUGAUCGCCUAGUAAUUCCUGAUAAACUCCGAAUGCUGUCAUUAUGUUUCACGGUAGUGAGGGCAUGGGUGCUAAGAUCCAUGUCCAAGAGGGGAACAACCCAGACCAUCAGUUAAGGUCCCUAAGUAUAUAUUAAGUUGAUAAACAAGGAUGUUGGCUUAGAAGCAG
RNAcentral lists this ribosomal RNA (620 nucleotides) under Blattabacterium clevelandi. Its description in RNAcentral is "bacterial LSU rRNA". It matches the Rfam family "Bacterial large subunit ribosomal RNA", at positions 482 to 1115 of the family's 2925-position model. The record is from RNAcentral. Lineage: Bacteria; Pseudomonadati; Bacteroidota; Flavobacteriia; Flavobacteriales; Blattabacteriaceae.